AUAAAAAUCCCCACCGCUGCGGCGGUUCCUACGCUACACCAGGGUUUUUCACGCACAAACGUAUCCGCGCACCCCAUCGCAUC
RNAcentral lists this small RNA (83 nucleotides) under Salmonella enterica subsp. enterica serovar Typhi. RNAcentral describes it as "StyR-128". The record is from RNAcentral. Lineage: Bacteria; Pseudomonadati; Pseudomonadota; Gammaproteobacteria; Enterobacterales; Enterobacteriaceae.